UACGUAGGUGGCGAGCGUUGUCCGGAUUUACUGGGCGUAAAGGGAGCGUAGGCGGGCUUUUAAGUGAGAUGUGAAAUACCCGGGCUCAACUUGGGUGCUGCAUUUCAAACUGGAAGUCUAGAGUGCAGGAGAGGAGAAUGGAAUUCCUAGUGUAGCGGUGAAAUGCGUAGAGAUUAGGAAGAACACCAGUGGCGAAGGCGAUUCUCUGGACUGUAACUGACGCUGAGGCUCGAAAGCGUGGGGAGCAAACAGGAUUAGAUACCCUGGUA
Molecule: ribosomal RNA, 269 nt
Filed under: uncultured prokaryote
Description: partial 16S ribosomal RNA
Rfam family: Bacterial small subunit ribosomal RNA
Source: RNAcentral